GAUGAAGAACGCAGCGAAAUGCGAUAAGUAAUGUGAAUUGCAGAAUUCAGUGAAUCAUCGAAUCUUUGAACGCACAUUGCGCCCCCUGGUAUUCCGGGGGGCAUGCCUGUCCGAGCGUCAUUACAACCCUCAAGCUCAGCUUGGUGUUGGGCCCCGCCGCCCCGGCGGGCCCUAAAGUCAGUGGCGGUGCCGUCCGGCUCCGAGCGUAGUAAUUCUUCUCGCUCUGGAGGUCCGGUCGUGUGCUCGCCAGCAACCCCCAAUUUUUUUCAGGUUGACCUCGGAUCAGGUAGGGAUACCCGCUGAACUUAAGCAUAUCAAUAAGCCGGAGGA
This 330-nucleotide unclassified non-coding RNA is filed under the name soil metagenome. RNAcentral's name for it is "partial contains 5.8S ribosomal RNA, internal transcribed spacer 2, and large subunit ribosomal RNA". The stretch from base 1 to 120 matches the Rfam family "5.8S ribosomal RNA", at positions 35 to 154 of the family's 154-position model. The record is from RNAcentral.